AGCUUCCGGAGCAGCUGGGACUGCUGGCGCCCGCCACUACGCUCGGCUAAUUUUUUUGUGUUUUUAGUAGAGACGGGCUUUCACCGUGUUGGCCUAGCGGUUCUCCAACUCCUGACCUCAUGAUCCCCCCGCCUCAGCCUCCCAAAGUGCUGGGAUUACAAGCGUGAGCCACCGCGACCCGCCAACACUCUUGACAACAGUGCUGUGCUAAGAACUUGGGGGACUUCAAAAAGUUCACCAGUUCCUGUGUCCAUGGGUGAAAAGAUUUUCUACAUCUUUCCUUGACUAGAAACAGAAGUCCUGAAACAAGAAUAUAACGUCAGGAGGCCAGAGGCUUUGUCCUGCCUAAUGUGUUAUUUCCACACUGAAUAAAAGCACCUGAGUCCUGGUAAGUCUAAUUUGCUAGGUGUGGCAAUAUGACCAGUGAAAAACAACAAGGGCAGCAUUUCCUGCAGUUCGGUGGCACAGUAUGGUUCAAAGAGGUAUAAAAGGAAGUCACAGGCAUUUUAAAAAGGUUGUACAUCUAGCAAUACCUAACAAAAUAGGAAAUCAACUUGGAAAGCCAAUGGCUGUGUUUUGAGUUUAUGGAGAGCCAUAUGUGGCAAGGAACUGAGGGUGGCAUCCAGGCAACAGACUUCAAGAAACUGAGGCUGUCAGUCCAACAACCCACAAGAACUGAAUCUGACCAACAAUCACAGGAACAAACUUAGAAGUAUACUCUUUCCCAGACAAACCUUCAGAUGAGACCACAGCCCCAGCCAUAAGCUUGAAAACAAUCUCAUGAGGGACCUUGAGCCACAGGCAUGUAGUAAAGCUAUGCCAGGAAUCCUGCCUGCCCCACAGAAAAUGUAAAAAAAAUAAAUUUUUAUUGUUUUAAGCCACGAAGUUUUGAAGUAAUUUGAUAUAAAACAAUAGAUAAUUAAUACACAUAGAGAAAAAUUAAGCAGGGAAAGGAGAUAGCUAGUGCUGGAAGAAUGAAGUGAGAAACAUGGUAAUUUAUACAGCAUCAUCAGAGAAGGUCUCAAUCAGAUUUUAACAUUUAAGCAAAACUUUGGAGGAACUGAGAGAGUGAGCUAUCCAUGGGAGGAAGUUUCCAGAAAAAGGAAGAAUAGGUGCAAAGGCACUGAGGUAGGAGUAAUUCUAUAUGUUUAGCGAAGGCAAGGAUGCUAGCAUGGCU
This 1177-nucleotide long non-coding RNA is filed under the name Homo sapiens (human). RNAcentral describes it as "HSALNT0376092". The record is from RNAcentral. Lineage: Eukaryota; Metazoa; Chordata; Mammalia; Primates; Hominidae.